GAUGAACGCUGGCGGCGUGCUUAACACAUGCAAGUCGAACGGAAAGGCUCCUGCUUGCAGGGGUACUCGAGUGGCGAACGGGUGAGUAACACGUGGGUGAUCUGCCCUGCACUUCGGGAUAAGCCUGGGAAACUGGGUCUAAUACCGGAUAGGACGAUGGUUUGGAUGCCAUUGUGGAAAGUUUUUCGGUGUGGGAUGAGCUCGCGGCCUAUCAGCUUGUUGGUGGGGUAAUGGCCUACCAAGGCGUCGACGGGUAGCCGGCCUGAGAGGGGGUACGGCCACAUUGGGACUGCGAUACGGCCCAGACUCCUACGGGAGGCAGCAGUGGGGAAUAUUGCACAAUGGGCGCAAGCCUGAUGCAGCGACGCCGCGUGGGGGAUGACGGCCUUCGGGUUGUAAACUCCUUUCGCUAGGGACGAAGCGCAAGUGACGGUACCUGGAGAAGAAGCACCGGCUAACUACGUG
This 465-nucleotide ribosomal RNA is filed under the name uncultured bacterium. RNAcentral's name for it is "partial 16S ribosomal RNA". It matches the Rfam family "Bacterial small subunit ribosomal RNA", at positions 28 to 507 of the family's 1533-position model. The record is from RNAcentral.